This is a long non-coding RNA of Vicia villosa (hairy vetch), 286 nucleotides long. RefSeq lists it as uncharacterized. The transcript is spliced from 3 exons. Lineage: Eukaryota; Viridiplantae; Streptophyta; Magnoliopsida; Fabales; Fabaceae. The record is from RefSeq and is a predicted model, not a curated record.
GGAAGUUUUGUUGCAGCUUGAUUGAAGGAUGAAGGAUAACAAAGAAGUUGCUGAAAAUCCAAGGAUAAACAAAAGUGUGUACUAGAGACAAAGCAACUUUGGCAAUAAAAAGUAAUAAACUGCAACAGAAAAUCAUUCAGCAGAAGCAGAAUAACAGUCCUGUGCAAUUGAAUGGCAUAAAGAACCUUUGGUGUAGAGGAUGAUGGUGGAAAGGAUGAUGUUGUAUGCAUUAUAAAACAAUUUAUUAGACUGAAUUUUUUUUGAGUUUUUUGGAAUCUAAUUAUAU